AUUGAACGCUGGCGGCAGGCCUAACACAUGCAAGUCGAGCGGAUGAAGGGAGCUUGCUCCUGGAUUCAGCGGCGGACGGGUGAGUAAUGCCUAGGAAUCUGCCUGGUAGUUGGGGAUAACGUCCGUACACGGGCGCUAAUACCGCAUACGUCCUGAGGGAGAAAGUGGGGGAUCUUCGGACCUCACGCUAUCAGAUGAGCCUAGGUCGGAUUAGCUAGUUGGUGGGGUAAAGGCCUACCAAGGCGACGAUCCGUAACUGGUCUGAGAGGAUGAUCAGUCACACUGGAACUGAGACACGGUCCAGACUCCUACGGGAGGCAGCAGUGGGGAAUAUUGGACAAUGGGCGAAAGCCUGAUCCAGCCAUGCCGCGUGUGUGAAGAAGGUCUUCGGAUUGUAAAGCACUUUAAGUUGGGAGGAAGGGCAGUAAGUUAAUACCUUGCUGUUUUGACGGUACCAACAGAAUAAGCACCGGCUAACUUCGUG
This 484-nucleotide ribosomal RNA is filed under the name uncultured bacterium. Its description in RNAcentral is "partial 16S ribosomal RNA". It matches the Rfam family "Bacterial small subunit ribosomal RNA", at positions 30 to 507 of the family's 1533-position model. The record is from RNAcentral.